UUGCUACGUUCGGCGCACAAUAUACUUUUCCUCAAAGAAAGAAAAAAAAAAAAGGGAAAACCCUAAUCGGAGAUCUUCCAAUCGCGUUGAGCUAUGCAGCAACCUCAGGAGUCGACGACGGCAGCCGAUGAGAUUCGCUCCUUACGGGUCGACGGCUUGAGUCCGAGGAUGGGUGAGAUGUAUCUCUACAACUGCUUCAGUGACUGCGCAGAGGUUUUGGCUGCAACAGUUUUGCGGAAAGUGCAAACCGGAUGGCAGGAAGAUCAUGGUUUUGUCGAGUUUGCUUCUCACAGCGUGGCUGAGUUUGUCUUGAGCUCCUACAAUGGUGAGCUCAUGCCCAACUACAAUAACCGGAGAUUUUGCCUGAGCUGGGACACUGAUGGUUACGGUACAAGGUGGCGCUGGGAUCCUGUUUACCAGCAAUGGUCUUUCUUUGGUUAUGAUGAGCACAGUGAUAUGUUGCAUGCCAAGACAGUGAUCGAGUUGUACAAGGACUGCAUACCUGUUGUUACUGAAAAGCCAUCUGGUAGUGCUCAGCAAUAUUCGCAAGAACCAGCUAGUUCAGACAAAGUGGAAUGGUUAUAGUCGUGCUGGCUCUAUGGAUAGUUACAAGCGUUUGAAGCAUGCACAUGUGGAUCUAUGGAAUGGUGGUAAUGGUGCUGGGUUUAUGUUUAUGCAGAACAACUUGAUGCGUCCACAUCACCUUAACCUGUAUCAUGGAGGACAGGCUGGAUAUGUAAAUUACCAGCAGCAUGGUCUAUACCCGCAGCCUUGUGCUUAUCAGCUGCCUUAUCAGCAACAUCAGACACAGUGGACUGUUGGCAGUGAUGUGCGUCCACUUGGGCAGCUCACCCAAGUUCCUAACCUGUAGGCUGGAUAUGUAAAUUACCAGCAGCAUGGUCUCUACCCACAGGAGAAGAAGCUGUAUUUAUGUUUCGAUGAGUGCAAUGACCUGACCAAUUGUUGUUAUGUUCUCCGCACCAUAAAUUUGUCCGAGUUACUUGCAUGCUCCUGUGAGUUUAGCAGCGAUACUGAAGAAAUAACCAAGUGCAGCUAUUGCACCUCCAAAGUCAAACCGGAAUAUCGGUUGCGCCAGCGGGCUUGGCUCUUCGCCAGCGAGGAAAAUCCUUUCAGCUGCGGUAGGGUGGAGGUGAUAAUUCCUUCGUGUAUGGGUUGCUGUGCCUCCGGCUCCCAAAUCUUCUUCGCUGGUGGCUUAGCUCCACUACCACUUAGGGAAAGACAAUUUCUGCCAAGUGGAGAUGUCUAUAGUUUUGAACCCAAGUCUAUGUUUUGGAAAAAGCAUGAUUGGAGUUUCCUGAAGGGGAAACCAGACCCCUUGCUUUUUGAGAUGAACGGAAAUCUCUAUUGUCUCGCAGGUAGUCCCCUAGGUUUUUCUCUUGAUCGUCCCACUUUCGAGGUAUACUAUAGCAGUUCUGGUGAAUGUGAGGCUUUGCCGUAUCCUCCAUUUUACCUACUGGAACUAGAUCGCACCAAAAACUACAGCGGCCCUUUGGCUGGUCGUGAAUUGUGUUAUGCUAUUGUUGGUACCAAGAUCUUGAUCUCGAGCAGGCACAACAAUGAAUCAAUCCCUAACUUUCCCAUUAUGUGUUUUGAUGUGAAUGAGAAGGAAAAGAAAUGGAGAGAGAUGACUUCCUUGUUCGAUGGUAAGCCGUUUCCCUUCAUCAGCAGGGCGGCUUUGGUCUUGGACUUGAACGAUGGUACACAUGAUAAGGUCAUGUUUUCCAUUCGUGAAUAUCACGAGAUAUAUGUCUCCCGAUUAGUUGUGAAUGAUGAUGGUAGUAUAUACAACUCUUAGGACUCUCCUCUGUUGUUUUUUAACUGGUUCUAUACCUUCUUUGGUGACCUUUGUCCUUUACAUUCAAAGUCAUACAGCUUUGUCGAUCUAGGAAAUCAAAAAGUUGGUUUUGUUGUGUGCGGGAACAUGGUUACAAUGGCAAGAGAUGAUACACCUUCUCUCCGGAAGGUGCGUGUUGUUCUGUUAGUAAUUGACUAUGAAGUGACAAAAUCAAGAUAUGUAUGGGGAAAGCUCCUGGCCAUGGCCACUCGCACCUUUGAAUACAAUUGCUAUUCCGCCCGCCUCCAAUCCGUCGACUUGAUUGGUAGCUUUGUGUUCUAACUCACUCCAACCAUUGGUAAUUCCUCCUCUCUCUUAAGUAUUAAUGUUAGAGUGAGUGCUACAUCAAACCAAGUAUUACACUUGUUAAUAGUAGACAUGGUUGGCCUUAUAGCUCUACUGCGCUGUCUGUUAUGAGUUUGGAAAGAAAUAUGGAAAGAUCAUUCGGUUUAUUGCUUUUGUUGCAUUUGGUUUGUACGUUGUUUCACUAGGGUUGAAGUUUGAUCGAUGGCCCCACGCCAUUUUAAUCAAGGUCUUGUGGUGCGGCAGAGGAGAAUCACAGGUUCCUACUUAUGAGAGUUUCCUUGUGAAAUGGAAAUUUUGGGCUGAUACUAUGGGCCUGUAAUUUUUACUUUUGUAAGACCACUUAUCAAUGCAGUGUAUAUCUGUUCCUUCUAACUUAAUCUUCAUCUGUGAAGAUUUGGUUUUUAAAUCUGACUGUCCAAACAACUUUGUUUGUAACAGGAAAUUUGGAUAAAUGACCAUUCAAGUUGAUUUUUUAUUAUUAAAACU
Molecule: RNA transcript, 2647 nt
Organism: Rosa chinensis
Lineage: Eukaryota; Viridiplantae; Streptophyta; Magnoliopsida; Rosales; Rosaceae
Gene name: polyadenylate-binding protein RBP45B-like
Exons: 4
Source: RefSeq, a predicted model, not a curated record